Molecule: long non-coding RNA, 341 nt
Filed under: Trifolium pratense (red clover)
Lineage: Eukaryota; Viridiplantae; Streptophyta; Magnoliopsida; Fabales; Fabaceae
Description: long non-coding RNA (TPRA_LNC004645)
Source: RNAcentral
GAUUGAUGACUUGGAUGCUCCAUUAUGAGAUUCUUAUGGUGUAAGCAAGUGGAGUUUGCAGAGCAUAUUUAGAUUCAUGACAGAAUGUUUAUAAAUGAGUAGAGGUUUGAAAUGGUUUCCUAUAAUGGCAGUUUCCAAAAAAAAUGCAGCACAUAUGAAUAGCGGGAACAUUUGAUUUUUCAUCUUAGAAUGAAAAUAAAUUCAGCUGCUAAAUUUUACAAUUCAUUUAGCGCCUAAAAAAUUAUAUAGUGAGAAAACUGCAAUGUAAGUUCAUGGCUUCCAGCAUUUUCUCACCACUAAGUGAGUCACUACUCAAGAAAAAGUGAUUUAUAAAUUAAUAC